ACGCGAAGAACCUUACCUGGUCUUGACAUCCACGGAAGUUUUCAGAGAUGAGAAUGUGCCUUCGGGAACCGUGAGACAGGUGCUGCAUGGCUGUCGUCAGCUCGUGUUGUGAAAUGUUGGGUUAAGUCCCGCAACGAGCGCAACCCUUAUCCUUUGUUGCCAGCGGUCCGGCCCGGGAAACUCAAAGGAGACUGCCAGUGAUAAACUGGAGGAAGGUGGGGAUGACGUCAAGUCAUCAUGGCCCUUACGACCAGGGCUACACACGUGCUACAAUGGCGCAUACAAAGAGAAGCGACCUCGCGAGAGCAAGCGGACCUCAUAAAGUGCGUCGUAGUCCGGAUUGGAGUCUGCAACUCGACUCCAUGAAGUCGGAAUCUCUAGUAAUCGUGGAUCAGAAUGCCACGGUGAAUACGUUCCCGGGCCUUGUACACUCCGCCCGUCACACCAUGGGA
Molecule: ribosomal RNA, 452 nt
Filed under: uncultured Enterobacteriaceae bacterium
Lineage: Bacteria; Pseudomonadati; Pseudomonadota; Gammaproteobacteria; Enterobacterales; Enterobacteriaceae
Description: bacterial SSU rRNA
Rfam family: Bacterial small subunit ribosomal RNA
Source: RNAcentral